This 201-nucleotide long non-coding RNA is filed under the name Elaeis guineensis (African oil palm). RNAcentral describes it as "long non-coding RNA (EGUI_LNC063319)". Lineage: Eukaryota; Viridiplantae; Streptophyta; Magnoliopsida; Arecales; Arecaceae. The record is from RNAcentral.
UUAUCUUGAUCAAAGUUUUACUAAAUUGAAAUACACUGAUGUAUAUCUCCUAUUUAUUCAGAGGGUCAACUCCACCUUGACUCACACACCGACUUGAUAAGUACUUGACUGCACCCAAUAAUCUUCCAUCACUGAAUUAAAAUUUCAGAUAGUCCAGCACUAAAGUACAGUGAGUUGCUUACAAAUCACUAUGGUGAUCUC